RNAcentral lists this long non-coding RNA (594 nucleotides) under Eptatretus burgeri (inshore hagfish). RNAcentral's name for it is "lncRNA (ENSEBUG00000017451.1)". Lineage: Eukaryota; Metazoa; Chordata; Myxini; Myxiniformes; Myxinidae. The record is from RNAcentral.
AUGAACGUUUUAAAUCCUGUUCUCAUUGGGGUGAAAGAUUUGAAAGAGAAAGGACUCGUGUUGUUCAUCAACCUUGGGUCACGUGGUUUUCACCGGAAGAGGUUAUUUGGAACAAAAAUAUAUAAUUAUAUCUUGGUUGAGAUACCAAUGGAGACGAGGGAAGGGGGCGUGGCCACAGUCCAUUGUGACAUCACAAUAAGAACUGCAACAAUAGAGAACUCUUUAGACAGGGCGGUAUCAUUAAAUCUUCAGUUCGUGGAGAGCCGUGCACCAGCCAUGUUGUUUCCCAUCGUGCUGUUUGUGCUCAACAUCCUCGGAAGUGGAGUGUCCCGUCCAUCACAGCAGGUUUACCAGAAUGAUGCUGUUGAGGAUGGAGGGAUGUCUGUGGUUCGCGACGUCGCGUUCAUCGUGAUUUCCUUCCUUUUAUUUUGGGUUGUAAUCACAUUUGAUCCGUCAUGUUGGUUCAACAACAAGGGGAGCCCCAAAAGAAAGCUCUGCAUUCACUGGUAAAGAAGGGGGGGGGGGGGGGGGGGGGGGGGGGGGGGGGGGGGGGGGGGGGGGGGGGGGGGGGGGGGGGGGGGGGGGGGGGGGGGG